This 820-nucleotide long non-coding RNA is filed under the name Homo sapiens (human). RNAcentral describes it as "non-protein coding lnc-ZBED2-5:1". Lineage: Eukaryota; Metazoa; Chordata; Mammalia; Primates; Hominidae. The record is from RNAcentral.
GAGAGAUUUCAUCUACGGGAAAAAGACCCUCUGAAAAGAAGUGUGAAAUCAUCAAAAGAGCCAUUGGAGGGGACACCAGAGAGUCGUGUGGCUGAGGUUUCACAUGAUCCCGCCAUGCUUCCAGUCCAGAGGAGAAAGCUAGACCCACUCCUCAAAAAGUAUAGGCAUCAUAAGAAGGCCACAAGGACAAAAAGAAGGAGGAAGGAGAAAAUGGAGGCCCAGUGCUCCCCUGUUCCUCCAACACCUUCAACACCACCACAAAGUGAAGAAGAUGAGGCUGUAGACAAAAAGCCAACUCUACUCAGUGCCCAGGAAGAUACUCCUGACCUUCUCCAUGAGGACAGAUUACAGUAUCUGCAGGAAGAGGGUUCCGGUGUGAUGCAUCAGGAAUGUCAGAUCCAGUCCUGUGAGCUCUCGGUGGCUCAGAAGCCCAGGCCCUCUUCUCCUGCAGUGACAUCCUUGGCAUCACCACCACUCUGCUUUGGCAGUUUCCUAAGCUGUGUCUGCCAGACCUUCUCAAGGUCUAGGAAGCAGAAGCCUCCCAGAAGAAAGGGUAACAACCAGGCUGAGGCAGGAGGUGAUGCUGAGGUCCUGAGACCUGGCCCGGCAAAACCAGAGUUGAGCCUCAGCAAAACGUGUAGCCACUUGAAAUCGAUAGAGCUUUCCUUUGUGUUUAGUUUUAUAGUUCUCUCUGUAUGUCAUUGUUCCUCUUAGUUGAGUUUUUGCCUGUCAAAGAGAUAGAGAGCUGCUUUUAUGCUGAGAUCCUCAAGCCAAAACCCACAGUAAACGCAAAGUAAAACUUUGAGGCUUUGAACUUUUA